CCGAGUUGUAAUUUGAAGAUUGUAACCUUGGGGUUGGCUCUUGUCUAUGUUUCUUGGAACAGGACGUCACAGAGGGUGAGAAUCCCGUGCGAUGAGAUGCCCAAUUCUAUGUAAGGUGCUUUCGAAGAGUCGAGUUGUUUGGGAAUGCAGCUCUAAGUGGGUGGUAAAUUCCAUCUAAAGCUAAAUAUUGGCGAGAGACCGAUAGCGAACAAGUACAGUGAUGGAAAGAUGAAAAGAACUUUGAAAAGAGAGUGAAAAAGUACGUGAAAUUGUUGAAAGGGAAGGGUUUGAGAUCAGACUCGAUAUUUUGUG
This 312-nucleotide ribosomal RNA is filed under the name Meyerozyma guilliermondii. RNAcentral's name for it is "eukaryotic LSU rRNA". It matches the Rfam family "Eukaryotic large subunit ribosomal RNA", at positions 138 to 447 of the family's 3401-position model. Lineage: Eukaryota; Fungi; Ascomycota; Pichiomycetes; Serinales; Debaryomycetaceae. The record is from RNAcentral.